UAAUCAGAAGAGGUGGAGAACCUAUUCAGUUUAGGAUUACAAUGCAAUACGGUCUUUCUCUAAUACAAUGCUCUUGAUCACAUUGUUUGGAUUGAUAGUUUAUUCAUGUCUACUAUCCAAUGUGAUUCAUUUACUUAUAUGAUUACUUUGAAUGUGAUUUGGAAUGACUUCCUAAAUCUCAUUCAUACUCUGGCCAGAGAUUCUUAAUCAUAUCAUAAAGUAUUCUCCCCCAAACAGUUUGAAGGUUAGAGAUCCCUUGUUGCGCAUUCACUUGCCUCCAUGGCUAAGUGGCUUAACCCCGACGAUGCCGUGGACACCCGCGGAUGGGGUGACUUUGACAUAAUCAAAGAUCAAGUACCUAACCACAAGACAACUAUGAUGCCUCAGGUCAAAGGACUACUUUGCAUUAUCCCAACCAUGAGUUCUCAUGUGACAUGAGUAUGAGAACUCCUCGUUGAUCGUGUUCAGUGGACUCAUUCAUUAUUGAGCACCUACAUGCUUGUCUUGGUGUCAAUCACACCAAUGACUCGAGACUAGUCACUCUCACUAAGAGAAGACAUAGCAUGUACUGAUCUUAACGGACUGUCAAUGCCCAAUUGGCAAUCCUAUGAUCAGGAACGUUUAGGAUAUGUAUACGAAAGAGAAUGGUCUCAGUAAUCUAACUUGUUUAAAUCACAUUCUCCUAAUUACAUAUUCCUUGGACUUAUCGUUUAAGCAUAUAACAUUUAUAUGAGACGGCUUAAACAAUAAUAUUUGCCCUUGAUAUUAAACUAGAUUAGUUUAGCAUGUGAAAUGUCCGUAAAGUAUCAUCAUAUGAUUGGUUUUAGGGCACAUUUCCAACAGUCUGUACGACAGGCUAGGUGUAAAUAUGCUCAAGUGCUACGAUCACGUGAAGAAUGUGCAAAGUAUCGCAAGUCACCUAUGAGUCAGAACCACCUAAUGUGGUCUGUAUGACAGGUUGGCACCAGCCUUGGAUCCAUGGUGAAUGUGUGGUGCGGGAGCUGAAUGAUCACAUGAAGGCUAGGCCCAGGCCUCGGGCGAACCACUAACACCGGGGUGCAGGACAAUGAAUUCUACGUACAACAAUUCAUUACUAACUACUACGUAAUCAUACCAACAAUGUGUACUUACCUGAACUUACCCUGGCAUCCGUAAUAAUAUGCAAUAUUAUGCAAAGCUAUACUAAACUGUAUGCUAAAUAUAAAGCAAAUAUGACAUGGCAUUUUAAAAUGUAAAAACCAUUUAAAACUAUUUCUGGGAAAACGUAAAGCAUAUAUGAACGUAUAUAUAGAAAAUCAAAAGCCCACUCAUUGGUAUGUAGCCGGGUCGUAACCCCCUAGUCUCGCCUGGCUGCGCUCGCCCUCCGGAAACGUCUCACCUAUAUGUGAAACCACUAUUUUAACGUCAAUUUUAAGCACAUAACCAAAAUCGUGUAAUAACAUCUCAUACGUUGUUCAAUUUGAGUGUUUGAAUAGACCUUUGUGGCCUACUCAACACCAUGAGCAUCCCCAUAUUUCUAGAAAAUUUUUCCAACGUCCCACGCGCCCUCACGCGCCGACCAUGCGCAGGCACGUGCUUGGCACAUGGACGGAAUCCCUAACGACGUUAGGGAAUAUUUCAUCAAAUAACAACAUAUUCUGUUUAAAAUUAACGGUGUUACCUGACGCCGUUAGCAUAUUCUGUCAAAGUUGACGGAAUAUUCCUUAUCUUCUCCGAUGGUCCUCACCGGAGUUGUCGCUGGCCUUUGUCUGCGUAUUUGGGAAUUGGAAAAUUUUCAAACUUUAAUAUCUUCCUCGUUUUUCAACCAAAUUCCACGAAAUUUAUGUCAAAUUGAAGCCCUAAA
This 1843-nucleotide long non-coding RNA is filed under the name Malus domestica (apple). RNAcentral's name for it is "long non-coding RNA (MDOM_LNC010393)". Lineage: Eukaryota; Viridiplantae; Streptophyta; Magnoliopsida; Rosales; Rosaceae. The record is from RNAcentral.